GUCGAGCGAGCUUGCCUAGAUGAUUUUAGUGCUUGCACUAAAUGACCCUUGAUACAAGCGAGCGGCGGACGGGUGAGUAACACGUGGGUAACCUGCCCAAGAGACUGGGGUAACACCUGGAAACAGAUGCUAAUACCGGAUAACAACACUAGACGCAUGUCUAGAGUUUGAAAGAUGGUUCUGCUAUCACUCUUGGAUGGACCUGCGGUGCAUUAGCUAGUUGGUAAGGUAACGGCUUACCAAGGCAAUGAUGCAUAGCCGAGUUGAGAGACUGAUCGGCCACAUUGGGACUGAGACACGGCCCAAACUCCUACGGGAGGCAGCAGUAGGGAAUCUUCCACAAUGGACGAAAGUCUGAUGGAGCAACGCCGCGUGAGUGAAGAAGGGUUUCGGCUCGUAAAGCUCUGUUGGUAGUGAAGAAAGAUAGAGGUAGUAACUGGCCUUUAUUUGACGGUAAUUACUUAGAAAGUCACGGCUAACUACGUGCCAGCAGCCGCGGUAAUACGUAGGUGGCAAGCGUUGUCCGGAUUUAUUGGGCGUAAAGCGAGUGCAGGCGGUUCAAUAAGUCUGAUGUGAAAGCCUUCGGCUCAACCGGAGAAUUGCAUCAGAAACUGUUGAACUUGAGUGCAGAAGAGGAGAGUGGAACUCCAUGUGUAGCGGUGGAAUGCGUAGAUAUAUGGAAGAACACCAGUGGCGAAGGCGGCUCUCUGGUCUGCAACUGACGCUGAGGCUCGAAAGCAUGGGUAGCGAACAGGA
RNAcentral lists this ribosomal RNA (756 nucleotides) under uncultured bacterium. Its description in RNAcentral is "bacterial SSU rRNA". It matches the Rfam family "Bacterial small subunit ribosomal RNA", at positions 61 to 777 of the family's 1533-position model. The record is from RNAcentral.